GUAAUGUAAGGGUGGCACUCACA
Molecule: microRNA, 23 nt
Filed under: Pristionchus pacificus
Lineage: Eukaryota; Metazoa; Nematoda; Chromadorea; Rhabditida; Neodiplogasteridae
Description: ppc-miR-8247-3p
Source: miRBase by way of RNAcentral